AAUCAACGCUGGCGGCGUGCCUAACACAUGCAAGUCGAACGCGAGAGGGGGCUUCGGCCCCGAUUGAGUGGCGAACGGGUGAGUAACACGUGGGUGACCUACCUUCGAGUGGGGGAUAACGUCCCGAAAGGGACGGCUAAUACCGCAUAACAUUCCGCUUUUGAACAAGUGGAAAUCAAAGCCGGGGAUCGUAAGACCUGGCGCUUGAAGAGGGGCCCGGCGUCCGAUUAGCUAGUUGGUGAGGUAACGGCUCACCAAGGCGACGAUCGUAGCCGGCCUGAGAGGGCGGACGGCCACACUGGGACUGAGACACGGCCCAGACUCCUACGGGAGGCAGCAGUGGGGAAUUGUUCGCAAUGGGCGCAAGCCUGACGACGCAACGCCGCGUGGAGGAUGAAGGUCUUCGGA
RNAcentral lists this ribosomal RNA (408 nucleotides) under uncultured bacterium. RNAcentral's name for it is "bacterial SSU rRNA". It matches the Rfam family "Bacterial small subunit ribosomal RNA", at positions 29 to 422 of the family's 1533-position model. The record is from RNAcentral.